UACAGAGGUCCCAAGCGUUGUUCGGAUUCAUUGGGCGUAAAGGGUGCGUAGGCGGCGCGGUAAGUCGGGUGUGAAAUCUCGGAGCUUAACUCCGAAACUGCAUUCGAUACUGCCGUGCUUGAGGACUGGAGAGGAGACUGGAAUUUACGGUGUAGCGGUGAAAUGUGUAGAGAUCGGGAGGAACACCGGUGGCGAAGGCGGGUCUCUGGGCAUUUCCUGACGCUGAGGCGCGAAAGCGUGGGGAGCAAACGGG
RNAcentral lists this ribosomal RNA (253 nucleotides) under uncultured bacterium. RNAcentral describes it as "partial 16S ribosomal RNA". It matches the Rfam family "Bacterial small subunit ribosomal RNA", at positions 524 to 776 of the family's 1533-position model. The record is from RNAcentral.